UUGACCUACGGGGCGCAGCAGUGGGGAAUAUUGGGCAAUGGGCGCAGGCCUGACCCAGCAACGCCGCGUGAAGGAAGAAGGCUUUCGGGUUGUAAACUUCUUUUGACAGGGAAGAGUAGAAGACGGUACCUGUCGAAUAAGCCACGGCUAACUACGUGCCAGCAGCCGCGGUAAUACGUAGGUGGCAAGCGUUGUCCGGAUUUAUUGGGUUUAAAGGGUGCGUAGGCGGGCUUUUAAGUCAGCGGUAAAAAUUCGGGGCUCAACCCCGUCCGGCCGUUGAAACUGGGGGCCUUGAGUGGGCGAGA
Molecule: ribosomal RNA, 305 nt
Filed under: uncultured bacterium
Lineage: Bacteria
Description: bacterial SSU rRNA
Rfam family: Bacterial small subunit ribosomal RNA
Source: RNAcentral